RNAcentral lists this long non-coding RNA (312 nucleotides) under Musa acuminata (dwarf banana). RNAcentral's name for it is "long non-coding RNA (MACU_LNC002668)". Lineage: Eukaryota; Viridiplantae; Streptophyta; Magnoliopsida; Zingiberales; Musaceae. The record is from RNAcentral.
UUUUCCUACUGUAGAUCCAUUUUAUCAUCGAGGAUUGCUUCAAAUCGAAAUGAAAUGAAUCGUAUAAAGGUAAUGAAAAUGACUGUUGAGAAUCUCCUCAGAUCGUACUCUACGACUCUUUUAACACCUAAUUCACUUACCUCCUUAUAAAAAAAAGACUUCUAACACCAAAAAAAAAAAAAAAACCUUCACCCCAAUGAGAGAAAUGCAUACAAAGAAAAUAGUAAAAGGAUAUUAUUCAAAAAUUCAUCUCUUCCAUUAUAAAUUCAUUUGGCUUUAUGCAUAUCUAUAUGGAUGAACGAUCUAUAUCCA